Molecule: ribosomal RNA, 892 nt
Filed under: uncultured Bacteroidota bacterium
Lineage: Bacteria; Pseudomonadati; Bacteroidota
Description: bacterial SSU rRNA
Rfam family: Bacterial small subunit ribosomal RNA
Source: RNAcentral
GCGCACGGGUGCGUAACGCGUAUGCAACCUACCUUGUACAGGGGGAUAGCCCAUGGAAACGUGGAUUAAUACCCCAUAGUAUAUAAUUAUCGCAUGGUGAUUAUAUUAAAACUUCGGUGGUACAAGAUGGGCAUGCGUAGGAUUAGCUAGUAGGUGAGGUAAUGGCUCACCUAGGCGACGAUCCUUAGGGGUUCUGAGAGGAUUAUCCCCCACACUGGUACUGAGACACGGACCAGACUCCUACGGGAGGCAGCAGUGAGGAAUAUUGGUCAAUGGGCGAGAGCCUGAACCAGCCAUCCCGCGUGCAGGAUGACGGCCCUACGGGUUGUAAACUGCUUUUCUAUGCCAAGAAACCUACUUACGUGUAAGUAGUUGCCGGUAGCAUAGGAAUAAGCAUCGGCUAACUCCGUGCCAGCAGCCGCGGUAAUACGGAGGAUGCAAGCGUUAUCCGGAUUCAUUGGGUUUAAAGGGUGCGCAGGCGGGCUUGUAAGUCAGUGGUGAAAUCUUGCCGCUUAACGGUAAAAUUGCCAUUGAUACUGCAAGUCUUGAAUAUGGUUGAGGUAGGCGGAAUGUGUUGUGUAGCGGUGAAAUGCAUAGAUAUGACACAGAACACCGAUUGCGAAGGCAGCUUACUAAGCCAUCAUUGACGCUGAGGCACGAAAGCGUGGGGAGCGAACAGGAUUAGAUACCCUGGUAGUCCACGCCCGUAAACGAUGAUCACUCGCUGUUUAGCGAUAUACAGUAAGCGGGCUGAGCGAAAGCAUUAAGUGAGUCCACCUGGUGGAGUACGAUCGCAAGGUUGAAACUCACAAGGAAUGUGACGGGGGCCCGCACAAGCGGAGGAAUCAUGUGGUGCUUAAUUCGAUGAUACGCGAGGAACCUUACCUGGGCU